UACGUAGGGUGCGAGCGUUAAUCGGAAUUACUGGGCGUAAAGGGUGCGCAGGCGGUUUCGUAAGUCUGUCGUGAAAUCCCCGGGCUUAACCUGGGAAUGGCGAUGGAGACUGCGAGGCUAGAGUUUGGCAGAGGGGGGUAGAAUUCCACGUGUAGCAGUGAAAUGCGUAGAGAUGUGGAGGAACACCGAUGGCGAAGGCAGCCCCCUGGGUCAAAACUGACGCUCAUGCACGAAAGCGUGGGGAGCAAACAGG
RNAcentral lists this ribosomal RNA (253 nucleotides) under uncultured bacterium. RNAcentral describes it as "partial 16S ribosomal RNA". It matches the Rfam family "Bacterial small subunit ribosomal RNA", at positions 524 to 776 of the family's 1533-position model. The record is from RNAcentral.